CCUAAUACAUGCAAGUCGAGCGAACGGACGAGAAGCUUGCUUCUCUGAUGUUAGCGGCGGACGGGUGAGUAACACGUGGAUAACCUACCUAUAAGACUGGGAUAACUUCGGGAAACCGGAGCUAAUACCGGAUAAUAUUUUGAACCGCAUGGUUCAAAAGUGAAAGACGGUCUUGCUGUCACUUAUAGAUGGAUCCGCGCUGCAUUAGCUAGUUGGUAAGGUAACGGCUUACCAAGGCAACGAUGCAUAGCCGACCUGAGAGGGUGAUCGGCCACACUGGAACUGAGACACGGUCCAGACUCCUACGGGAGGCAGCAGUAGGGAAUCUUCCGCAAUGGGCGAAAGCCUGACGGAGCAACGCCGCGUGAGUGAUGAAGGUCUUCGGAUCGUAAAACUCUGUUAUUAGGGAAGAACAUAUGUGUAAGUAACUGUGCACAUCUUGACGGUACCUAAUCAGAAAGCCACGGCUAACUACGUGCCAGCAGCCGCGGUAAUACGUAGGUGGCAAGCGUUAUCCGGAAUUAUUGGGCGUAAAGCGCGCGUAGGCGGUUUUUUAAGUCUGAUGUGAAAGCCCACGGCUCAACCGUGGAGGGUCAUUGGAAACUGGAAAACUUGAGUGCAGAAGAGGAAAGUGGAAUUCCAUGUGUAGCGGUGAAAUGCGCAGAGAUAUGGAGGAACACCAGUGGCGAAGGCGACUUUCUGGUCUGUAACUGACGCUGAUGUGCGAAAGCGUGGGGAUCAAACAGGAUUAGAUACCCUGGUAGUCCACGCCAUAAACGAUGAGUGCUAAGUGUUAGGGGGUUUCCGCCCCUUAGUGCUGCAGCUAACGCAUUAAGCACUCCGCCUGGGGAGUACGACCGCAAGGUUGAAACUCAAAGGAAUUGACGGGGACCCGCACAAGCGGUGGAGCAUGUGGUUUAAUUCGAAGCAACGCGAAGAACCUUACCAAAUCUUGACAUCCUUUGACAACUCUAGAGAUAGAGCCUUCCCCUUCGGGGGACAAAGUGACAGGUGGUGCAUGGUUGUCGUCAGCUCGUGUCGUGAGAUGUUGGGUUAAGUCCCGCAACGAGCGCAACCCUUAAGCUUAGUUGCCAUCAUUAAGUUGGGCACUCUAAGUUGACUGCCGGUGACAAACCGGAGGAAGGUGGGGAUGACGUCAAAUCAUCAUGCCCCUUAUGAUUUGGGCUACACACGUGCUACAAUGGACAAUACAAAGGGCAGCGAAACCGCGAGGUCAAGCAAAUCCCAUAAAGUUGUUCUCAGUUCGGAUUGUAGUCUGCAACUCGACUACAUGAAGCUGGAAUCGCUAGUAAUCGUAGAUCAGCAUGCUACGGUGAAUACGUUCCCGGGUCUUGUACACACCGCCCGUCACACCACGAGAGUUUGUAACACCCGAAGCCGGUGGAGUAACCUUUUAGGAGCUAGCCGUCGAAGGUGGGACAAAUGAUUGGGGUGAAA
RNAcentral lists this ribosomal RNA (1458 nucleotides) under uncultured organism. RNAcentral describes it as "partial small subunit ribosomal RNA". It matches the Rfam family "Bacterial small subunit ribosomal RNA". The record is from RNAcentral.